UUAUAUUUUAUUUAUUAAUUAAUUUUUUUUUUAUUAUAAGUUAUUAAAAGUAAUUAUUAUGGGAUUUGUUUGAGUAUUUUAUAAAGAAAAAAUAAUUUUAAUUAUAGUUAAAUAGUAUUGUGAAAGAAAAUUGAAAUAAUUUGAAAAAUUAAUAUUUUAAAAGAAAAUUUAAUUUAUUGUAUCUUGUGUAUCAGGGUUUAUCAAAUAAAAAUUAUUUAUAAUAAUUUUCUCGAUUUUAAAAGAGUUAAUAUACUAUAAAAGUUAAUGUGACAAAAUUAUUUUGUAUAGUAUAUUAGAAAUGAAAUGUUAUUCGUUUUUAAAGGUAUCUAGUUCUUUAAGAAAUAAAUUUAAUUUAGGAAUUUUAUAUUAUUUAGUUAAGUAUAUUAAUUAAAUAAUUGUUUUAUUCUAAUAUUUUGUGGGAUAAGCUAUGAAAUAAAUUAUUAAAAAUUAUUAAGUAAUUUAAUAAAUAUAAGCUUAGAAAUAGCUAUUAUUAAUAAAAUUGUUAUAAUUUAUUUUAUUAUAUUGAUUAUUUAUUAAAUUUUAAUUAUGUAUUAAAGUAUUUAUUUUAAUUUAAAAAAUAAAAAAAUAAUGAUAAAAUUAGUAUAUUAUAUUGUAUAAAUAUAAUAAAUUGAAAAGUUUUUAUAAAGAACUCGGCAAAAAUAAUGUUCGCCUGUUUAACAAAAACAUGUCUUUUUGAAUUUUUUUAAAAGUCUAGCCUGCCCACUGAAUAAUUUAAAUGGCCGCAGUAUACUAACUGUGCAAAGGUAGCAUAAUCAUUAGUCUUUUAAUUGAAGGCUGGUAUGAAUGGUUGGACGAGAUAUUAACUGUUUCAUAAAAAUUUAUAGUAGAAUUUUAUUUUUUAGUCAAAAAGCUAAAAUAAUAUUAAAAGACGAGAAGACCCUAUAAAUCUUUAUAUAUAAAUUGUUGGAAUUUUGUAGAUUUUUUUUAUUACAAUAGUUGAUUAUAUUUUAUUGGGGUGAUAUUAAAAUUUAAUAAACUUUUAAUUUUUUCUUAUCAUUAAUUUAUGAAUAAUUGAUCCGUUAAUAGCGAUUAAAAAAAUAAGUUACUUUAGGGAUAACAGCGUAAUUUUUUUGGAGAGUUCAUAUCGAUAAAAAAGAUUGCGACCUCGAUGUUGGAUUAAGAUAUAGUUUUAGGUGUAGCCGCUUAAAUUUUAAGUCUGUUCGACUUUUAAAUUCUUACAUGAUCUGAGUUCAAACCGGCGUAAGCCAGGUUGGUUUCUAUCUUUAAUUAAUUAAAAUAUUUCAGUACGAAAGGACCUAAUAUUUAAUAAAUUAUUAUUUUUAUAAUGAAUAUAAAUAAUUU
This 1323-nucleotide ribosomal RNA is filed under the name Sarcophaga melanura. Its description in RNAcentral is "16S ribosomal RNA". The stretch from base 1074 to 1233 matches the Rfam family "Archaeal large subunit ribosomal RNA", at positions 2544 to 2703 of the family's 2987-position model. Lineage: Eukaryota; Metazoa; Arthropoda; Insecta; Diptera; Sarcophagidae. The record is from RNAcentral.